Molecule: ribosomal RNA, 545 nt
Filed under: uncultured fungus
Lineage: Eukaryota; Fungi
Description: SSU rRNA
Rfam family: Eukaryotic small subunit ribosomal RNA
Source: RNAcentral
GGAAGGGGUGUAUUUAUUAGAUAAAAACCAUCCUCCUCGGAGUUUGGUGAUUCAUAAUAACUUCUCGAAUCGCACGGCCUUGUGCUGGCGAUGCUUCAUUCAAAUAUCUGCCCUAUCAACUGUCGAUGGUAGGAUAGAGGCCUACCAUGGUUGCAACGGGUAACGGGGAAUAAGGGUUCGAUUCCGGAGAGGGAGCCUGAGAAACGGCUACCACAUCCAAGGAAGGCAGCAGGCGCGCAAAUUACCCAGUCCCGACACGGGGAGGUAGUGACAAUAAAUAACAAUGCAGGGCCCUUUUGGGUCUUGUAAUUGGAAUGAGUACAAUUUAAAUCCCUUAACGAGGAACGAUUGGAGGGCAAGUCUGGUGCCAGCAGCCGCGGUAAUUCCAGCUCCAAUAGCGUAUAUUAAAGUUGUUGCAGUUAAAAAGCUCGUAGUUGAAGUUUGGUCUCGGACGCUGGGUCUGCUUAAUUGCAUGUACUUGACGGUCCGAGACUUCCUUCUUGGUGAACGGCCGCCUUCGGGUGGUCCGGAACCAGGACUAUUAC